RNAcentral lists this long non-coding RNA (928 nucleotides) under Homo sapiens (human). RNAcentral describes it as "non-protein coding lnc-ARL10-2:1". Lineage: Eukaryota; Metazoa; Chordata; Mammalia; Primates; Hominidae. The record is from RNAcentral.
GAACAAAAUGAAAUACUAUUUAGUAAUUAAAAGCAAUGAGCUGGGCCAAGAUGGCAGUGCAGGUGGUGCAGGCGGUGCAGGCAGUUCAUCUAGAGUCUGACACUUUCCUUGUUUGUCUCAACCAUGCUCUGAGCACAGAGAAGGAGGAAGUGAUGGGGCUGUGGAUAGGGGAGUUGAACAAUGAUACAAGGAGUGACUCCAAAUUUGCAUAUACUGGAACUGAAAUGCGCACAGUUGCUGAAAAGGUUGAUGCCAUCAGAAUUGUUCACAUUCGUUCUGUCAUCAUCUUAACGACGUUCUGAUAAGAGGAAGGACCAAGUAGAAAUUUCACCAGGGCAGCUGUCUGCAGCUUCAACAGAGGCAGAGAAGUUGGCUGAACUGACAGGCCACCCCAUGAGAGUUGUGGGCUGGUAUCAUUCCCAUCCUCAUAUAACUGUUUGGCCUUCACAUGUUGAUGUUCGCACCCAAGCCAUGUACCAGAUGAUGGAUCAAGGCUUUGUAGGACUUAUUUUUUCCUGUUUCAUAGAAGAUAAGAACACAAGGGCUGGCCGGGUACUCUACACUUGCUUCCAAUCCAUACAGGCCCAAAAGAGUUCAGAGUAUGAGAGAAUCGAAAUCCCAAUCCAUAUUGUACCUCAUGUCACUAUCGGGAAAGCGUGCCUUGAAUCAGCAGUAGAGCUGCCCAAGAUCCUGUGCCAGGAGGAGCAGGAUGCAUAUUGGAGGAUCCACAGCCUUACACAUCUGGACUCAUAACCAAGAUCCAUAAUGGCUCAGUGUUUACCAAGAAUCUGUGCAGUCAGAUGUCAGCAGUCAGCGGGCCUCUUCUACAGUGGUUGGAGGACAGACUGGAGCAAAACCAAUAGCAUUUGCAGGAAUUGCAACAAGAAAAGGAAGAGCUUAUGCAAGAACUUUCUUCUCUGGAAUAAAG